This is a non-coding RNA of Oryctolagus cuniculus (rabbit), 4929 nucleotides long. The record is from RefSeq and is a predicted model, not a curated record. Lineage: Eukaryota; Metazoa; Chordata; Mammalia; Lagomorpha; Leporidae.
UAAUACGGAUGUAACAGCAACUUGAUUGUAGUGGAUAGGAGAGAUUAGUGGCAGCAAUAAGCUCACAAAAGCAUGUGCCUUACUUGAAUGGGGAGCCCAUUUCCUCAGAAUCACCGAGCUACGCUUCAAAAAUAUAGAUCUAGGAUUGUCAGAUAUGAUUUUUAAGAGAAAUUUUUAAAUAUUUAAAUUCAAUAUUCUUAAAUAUUGUAAUAAUUUUAAGUAAAAUAAAUUAGCUUUUAAAAAGUAAAAACCCUAAGUGAAUGGAUCAGAUAAAUAAGGAAGUGAUAGAUAGACAGAUGAUAGAUAGAUAUAGUAGUCCCUCCUUAUCUGCUAAAGACCACCAGUAGAUGGUUGGAAGCUUGGUUAGUACCAAAUCCUGUAUCUGCUAGGUUAUUUCCUAUUCACACACAUCUGUGACACAGUUUAAGUUAUAAAUUGGGCAGAGUAAGAGAUUAACAGCAAUAAUAAAAAUAAAACAAUUAUAACAAUGUAAAUUGUAUUCUGUGUGUAUGUCUCAAAAUAUCAUAUGGUACUGCACUCACUCUUCUGGUGGUGUGUGAGAGUUUUACAGAAGGACUUUACAGCUUCUCUUUGUCAUAUUCAAAUUGCCAGCAUCACUACCCUUGCUUUGGGGUCAUUUUUCUUUAAAAUUAAAUACAUUUUAAAGAAUAUUUGUUUUUAUUUAAACGGCAGAGGUGGGAGAGAGAGAGAGGGAAGAGAGAGAGUCUUCCAUCCUGUGAUUCACUCUUCCAGUGCCCACAAUAGCUGGGACUAGGCCAGGUCAAAGCCAGAAGCCUACAUCUUGGUCUGGAUCUCCCACGUGGGAGAUGGGGCGCAAAUACCUGAGCCGUCAUCUGCUAUUUUCCAGGGUACACAUUAGCAGGAAGCUGGAACUGCAAGCACAGCAGUGACUGGAACCCUGGCACUUCAGUAAGAUGGGAGCAGUGUUAUCACCAGUACACCAAAUGCCUUCCUCCAGCGUUUCACACUUAACAACAUAGAGCCAACAUCUUUACAUUUCUCUAUCAUUCCUUUAAUGGUUGUCUAGCCCUAAAAUGUAUGAUUAUAUUCCGAUUAGUUAUUGUUGUCAAAGACAGAACUGUGAUAAGCAAUCUUGUAUGUAUUUACAAUACAGUGGUUAAAUUAUUUCUUUCAUACAAACUGCAACAGGAAUGAGAACCGGGCUCUUUAAAAUUUGUCCUUAAGCCAAGUUCACACUGCAACCAGCUUAACCACAAAGGUUAAGUGGAGGAAAAGGAAAGCCGAGAAGCUCCUUCCAGGAAAUGGUAAAUACUUCUGGUCUUGUGGAGUUUGGAAUACCACUGAGUCCACACAAAGUAUGCAGGAUACAAUGCUGGUAGCUCUAGGCAGGUAUGACUGAAGUGCUGACAUUUGGUCCAGCAGAAAGAAGAAAUCUCAGACAGGCAGCAAGCGCAAGAACUCCAGUAGCGUGAGGAAAGUUGAAAGAACCUAAAAAAGGGAUGUGUAAUAAAUUCUUAGGCUAAACAAAGUCCCCAAACAAGUCCUUAGUUAGGAAAUAGUCUAAUCGAGCUAGCGGAACAUUUAGUGAUGGUGUUUAGUGUAUUUUAUCCUUGCUUUAUUUAAAUGUUCAAUAAAUUUAAUGAAUAUUAUCCUAAGCUUAUUAAAUUCAUUUUUUUUGAUAGGCAGAGUGGACAGUGAGAGAGAGAGAAAGAGAGAAAAGUCUUCCUUUUUUGUUGGUUCACCCCCCAAUGGCUGCUGUGGCCGGCACAUCGCGCUGAUCUGAAGGCAGGAGUCAGGUGCUUCCUCCUGGUCUCCCAUGCAGGUGCAGGGCCCAAGGACUUGGGCCAUCCUCCACUGCACUCCCUGGCCACAGCAGAGAGCUGGACUGGAAGAGGAGCAACCAGGACAGAAUCCGGCGCCCCAACCGGGACUAGACCCCAGUGUGCCGGCGCUGCAGGCGGAGGAUUAGCCUAUUGAGCCGCGGCGCUGGCCAGCUUAUUAAAUUCUUUAAAAAAAUUUAAUAAUAUUCCCUUGUAGUAAUUAUUGGAGAACCUAGAUAUCCUAAUGCCACUGGGUUUUGAUGUAAAUUCUCAAUAUGUUGUAGACACAUUUUUAACAAUUUUCUAUUACACAGAGAUAGAGCACUCUUCUGCUGACUCACUCUCCAAAUUCCCAAGACAGCGUGGGUGCUGAAGCCCAGAGCCUGAAACUCCAUCCAGAUCGUCCACGUGGGGAGCAAGAACUGAAUGCCUUGAGCUGUCACUGCUGCCUCUCAGGAUCUGCAUUAGCGUGGAGCCGCCUUUAGGAAUCGGAGCCCAGCUAGACCCAGGAAGGAAGGCCCAUGAUAUCCAACACCAGGUAGAGGAUGACACAAAGGUUUGAAUAUCUUGACACGGGGUGCAUUGGGGACCACUGUGGAACCUGCUGAUUGCACACUUCAUCUGAUGAUUCUGGUUCCAUUUCGCACAUUGAAAGUUUUGUUCCUCGGUAAUGGUGACGAUAACCAGAAAAUUUAUGAUCUGACCUUUUGAUGAUCCCUACCAAGAUGAUGGAAAUCUGAGAUUGUCAUGCAAUCUCUGUUGCAUGACAGCUUCCUGCUAAUGUGUACCCUGGGAGGCAGCAGAAGAUAACCCAAGUACUUGGGUUCCUGCCACUCACACAUGAGGUAUGGAUUGAAGUUCCGGCUCCCAGGCAUUUGGGGAGUUGAACCAGUUUAUGGGAGGUCUCUGUCUGUCUCUAUAUCUAAGUCUCUCGCUGCAUCCCAAAUCAAUUAAAUAAAUACUCUUAAAAAAGAAUAAAUUUAUUUUAAAAUAACGCAUUUCACUCACUUCUAUCAUUUAAAGAUUAUUUACUUGAAAGGCAGAGGUACAGAGAGAGAGGGCAAAGGUAGAGAGAAAGAAAGAUCUUUCAUCUGCUGUUUUGCUCCCCGGAUGACCAAAAGCUAAGAGCUUGAAACCACCCACGUCUCCCACAUUGCUGGCAGGGGCCCUCAUAGGACAGCACCUUUGGCUUUCCCAGGCACAUUAGGCAGAAGCUGGAUGGGAAGUGGAACAGCCGGGACUCAAACCAGAACUCAUAUGGGAUGCUCGUUGCAGGCAGUGGCUGAACUGGCUGCACCACAGUGCUGACCCCCUUCAUUCACUUUUGAAAAAGAUAAUAUUUGUUAAAAGGCAAUGUUAUUCUUUGCUAUGAAUAUGUAAAAUAUUAUGAUUCUUACCGGUUAGUCAGCCAGAUUUUCUUUUAAUCAAGUGACAAAAGACUUCAGAAAACUUGUUUGAGUUUUAUCAUUCCAAGAUUGGACACUUGAUUUAGAAACAAAGUAAAGAUUCCCUGUAGGGACCCAGAAAAUAAAAUAAAAUAAAGAUUUAUUCGUUCACAUUAUGAAAAGUGAGAUCUAGAAAUAAUUGAGUUUUUUUGAUAUGCUCCAUAUUUCUUAAUCAGCCCCAAUAGCACUGUAAGAGCUCCGAAAGCAGAGUUGUUAACUCAAAGGGUAACUUUGUAAAGUUACUACUGUAAUUUCUCAGAAGUUAUAGAAGACCUUGGAGUGUUUUAAUGUUCCCCCUGAUCAUAGUAUGUCCUUAGGUUCAGAGAAAACAUUAAAGACAUUCUUAUAAAGCAUAAUAUGUCAUGCCCAAUGGAGGAUUUUACUCUCUCCCUUGCCUAUACUGUUGGUUUUUGCAAUAAAUUUACCAUGGCAGUCUAUAUCAUCAGCAGCUAUAACUUUUACUCUGGGGCUUACAGCUCAGACCAGGAUUUUGUUUUAAGUCAACAGUAGUUUCAGAGAAUCAAGGACAGGAUGUAACAGACACUCUUAAAGACUGAACCUUCAAAGAAUGAACUGUGCAUACCAUCCCCAGGUGGACACGUCCUUUGUGUCUUUGAGACCGUAACAGGCCACUGAGUCAGGAUUUCCAGGGCACUUUUUAGCUCACUAUUAGAUGACCUUGGGAAGCACAGAGUUGAUUCAGGAUCCACUGGAACACAAAUGUGUUGCUUAGGACUGAAUAAACUAAUAAGAGAUGUUUAAUUGUGAUUGCUUAUUUGGAAUAUUGUUAAUAUUUUAAAAUCCUUAUUUAUUUAUUUAUUUGAAAGAUAGACAGAGACAGGCAGUGAUCUCCCAUCCUCUGAUCCACUUCCCAAACACCAUCAACAGUCAGGAGUGGGCCAGACUGAAGUCAGUAUGGAGGAACUCAAUUUGAGUCUCCCAAGUUGGGUGGUAGGGACUCAACUACUUGACUCGUCAUCUGCUACCUCCUAGGAUGAACAUUAGGGGGAUGCUGCAAUUUGAAUUCGACCUGGCAUUGGAAAUUGACUCUGAUAUGAGUUUGAUAUGAGAUGCAGUCAUUCAAAGCAGUGUUUCUUAACUGUUGUGCCAAACAUCUGCUCAGAAUAUUAAUUUUAAGAUUUUUAUCUUCUAAGGAUUAUAUAGAGAACUCAUGUUGUUUCUUCUUAAGCUAUCUCCAACUUUAAACACUAUGCAUCUGUAAAUUGAAAUGACUUAUAGUAUAAAAAUUGAUAUCCGAUUUUUACCGAUCUCUCAGGAUUCAGAAAUAACUGGUUUUCCUUUGCUUUUCAUGGCAAUACAGUUAAUUGCAUAGGUUUAAUAAUAAAUUAUAAUGUUAAAUUUUACCAGGCACAACUGGGCAAAUUGAUUGUUCACAGAAGGCAUUGUAAGUACAAUAUUUAAAGAUGAUUCAUAUAUUCAGAUAUGACAAGCCAAACACUAAGAAGUGAUGGUUGUAUUUGACACUUGCAACAACUACUAACAGAGUUAGAUGAAGCACACAUAUCUGGGAUAUCUUCUGUGGCUGAGGGGGUCCCAAUUUCACUGCCUAAUGAAGAUUAUCCCUGGAAAGGACAAUGUAUAUUUUAGAGAAUCUAUGGGAGGGAAAAAUUCACCCGAAUUUGUUUACAAGUUAAGAUACUAUACCAAACUCUGUUUCUUAC